UGGGGAAUCUUGGACAAUGGGCGCAAGCCUGAUCCAGCCAUGCCGCGUGAGUGAUGAAGGCCUUAGGGUCGUAAAACUCUUUCAGCGGGGACGAUAAUGACGGUACCCGCAGAAGAAGCUCCGGCUAACUCCGUGCCAGCAGCCGCGGUAAGACGGAGGGAGCAAGCGUUGCUCGGAAUUACUGGGCGUAAAGGGCGUGUAGGCGGGACGGCAAGUCGGGUGUGAAAGCCCUGGGCUCAACCCAGGAAGUGCAUUCGAUACUACUGUUCUUGAGUGUGGUAGAGGAGAGCGGAAUUCCCAGUGUAGCGGUGAAAUGCGUAGAUAUUGGGAAGAACAUCUGUGGCGAAGGCGGCUCUCUGGGCCACUACUGACGCUGAGGCGCGAAAGCUAGGGGAGCAAACAGGAUUAGAUACCCUGGUAGUCCUAGCUGUAAACGAUGGGCACUAGGCGCGGGAGGUGUUGACCCCCUCCGUGCCGCAGCUAACGCGAUAAGUGCCCCGCCUGGGGAGUACGGCCGCAAGGCUA
RNAcentral lists this ribosomal RNA (525 nucleotides) under uncultured bacterium. Its description in RNAcentral is "bacterial SSU rRNA". It matches the Rfam family "Bacterial small subunit ribosomal RNA", at positions 355 to 896 of the family's 1533-position model. The record is from RNAcentral.